AAUCAUAAUAAUUGAUAAUAUUGGGAAUGGAACCUUAUAUUUAAGGAAUCUUUUGGUUGUGAAAGCUGAUGACGUUAUAAAUAACGAUAAUAGUGAGCUAAAGACUUUAAAUUAGAAUGAAGUCAUGGUUAUGGAAAUGGUUGAUGUUAUAGGAAACGAUGAGAACGACGGGCGUAUGUUCACUAACACAACUCUGACAUACGAUAAACGAUGAGUAGGUAUGGUACCACAUUCAUAUAGGUCUUAGGACUGAGUUCAUAUGCACAAAAACUCGAGGAUGAUUUGUAUUUGCUGAAUAUGUGUAAUUGUGUGAGACGAUGAAGAUGAUUAUCUGUUGAUGUUCUUAUGAAGAUAAUUAUUGAUGACUAUAUGAGUUGUGACUAUUUUGAAAUUGAAUUGUGACAUUGUGUUUGUGAAGAUUUUAGUUCUUAUACUGUAAAGAUAAUUUUUUUUACUAAUGUGGAUUGAGUUGAUACGACUUUGACUUAAUUGCUUACGUGUUCUUCUCAUUUAUUUUACACUAUUACAUGUUCACGAAACUCACCCGUUCGUUGUUUGUGUUUGUUGGCUUGGCCCUGCGAUUGCGAAAACGCAGUUCUAUAGGUUAUGAGUCUCGGAAUCAAGUACAUGCCUUUCAUGAAGACUUUUCUUGUUAAGUUGGGGAAAAGCUCCGCUCUGAUAGUGAAACUGGGAAAGGGAUAUGCUUACUUAUUUAGUUUUGUACAAGAAAACUAUUUUCUAUGUUGUAAAAGAAAGUAUAUUGAAAAGCAAAGGAUUCGAUGUUAUAAUUUUCAAAGAAGUGAAAUGUGAAUUAUGUUUGUUAUGAGUCAAUGUGGUAUCCUAAAUCUUGUGGGAGAAUUCUUAUAUUUAUAGGAAAGUUUUUAUUUGACACUCUCUGCUGAGAAUUAAACUCUAUUUUUUUUUAUAAAUAAUAGUAAUAAUUAUUUUGGUAUUUCAGGUGUCGCAGCAAGGGCUUAAAAAACUUGAUGGUCAUAUUUGGCAAGUGUACUAAAUAAUUUAAACAAUUUACGAACG
RNAcentral lists this long non-coding RNA (1035 nucleotides) under Medicago truncatula (barrel medic). RNAcentral's name for it is "long non-coding RNA (MTRU_LNC004404)". The record is from RNAcentral. Lineage: Eukaryota; Viridiplantae; Streptophyta; Magnoliopsida; Fabales; Fabaceae.